This is a long non-coding RNA of Chinchilla lanigera (long-tailed chinchilla), 334 nucleotides long. RefSeq lists it as uncharacterized. Lineage: Eukaryota; Metazoa; Chordata; Mammalia; Rodentia; Chinchillidae. The transcript has 2 exons. The record is from RefSeq and is a predicted model, not a curated record.
CACGGGCACUUCCGCCCACGUGCGCGUCGCGACAGGAAGUGAGGACAUGGGUCGCCGCGGGGAACGCCGGGAUUGGUCCGGCCAGGUGAGAUUCUUCAGAGGCUCAAGGACAUGCAGUGUCACAGCAGACGGAGUCACAAGGAGCUGUGACAGUCCAUUCAGUAUGGGAAGGAGUUCCAGAAUAUAAAAUGGUGCUGAUCUUCUAUCAAGCUUUUUUGUUUGAGAAAAUAUUGUUAUUUUAUUAAAAUGUUAGUGAUGUUAUGAUGUAUUUCUUAUUAUUGAGGAUUUUUGUUGUUAUUAUAAGUGAAUCAAUAAAUUAGUUUUUAAAAAUUUU